CCAAAACGACUCUCGGCAACGGAUAUCUAGGCUCUUGCAUCGAUGAAGAACGUAGCGAAAUGCGAUACUUGGUGUGAAUUGCAGAAUCCCGUGAACCAUCGAGUCUUUGAACGCAAGUUGCGCCCGAAGCCUUCUGGCCGAGGGCACGUCUGCCUGGG
RNAcentral lists this ribosomal RNA (158 nucleotides) under Hypericum calycinum. Its description in RNAcentral is "5.8S ribosomal RNA". It matches the Rfam family "5.8S ribosomal RNA". From Rfam's summary of the family: 5.8S ribosomal RNA (5.8S rRNA) is a component of the large subunit of the eukaryotic ribosome. It is transcribed by RNA polymerase I as part of the 45S precursor that also contains 18S and 28S rRNA. Lineage: Eukaryota; Viridiplantae; Streptophyta; Magnoliopsida; Malpighiales; Hypericaceae. RNAcentral also lists the same sequence under 1 other name. The record is from RNAcentral.